GUCUUCGUGGUGUAGUGGUCAGCACACUCUACGCGUAACCGAGAGGUACGUGGUUCAAAUCCCGGCGAAGGCU
Molecule: non-coding RNA, 73 nt
Organism: Stegodyphus mimosarum
Lineage: Eukaryota; Metazoa; Arthropoda; Arachnida; Araneae; Eresidae
Source: Rfam